Lotus japonicus is the source of this 2252-nucleotide RNA transcript. It is a transcript of the gene named glycosyltransferase BC10-like, with no coding region annotated. The transcript has 3 exons. The record is from RefSeq and is a predicted model, not a curated record. Lineage: Eukaryota; Viridiplantae; Streptophyta; Magnoliopsida; Fabales; Fabaceae.
UCCUCUCAUUUUAUCUAACUCCACUAACAACAGAACCAACAUCAUGUAAAACUCCUUUCAAAAAACAUCAUGUAAAACUAAAAGAAAAAUGAAAUGAGUAACUGAAAACCCAAAAAAUAAACCCUCACAUUUUCCAUCUUCACUCACUCACUCUCUUUCAUUCAUUCAUUCCCUUCCAAAUUCCAAUCUUCCAUCAUUGAAUCAUAUCAAAAUUUUAGCAUAAACUGUUGCAUGCUCAUUCAAAACCAAAAACAUCAUCAAAAUCCAAUGUUGUCAUCACCUAUUCUUGUCUCCUUCACUCUCAUCCUCUCUCUCCCUAUCCUUCUCUUCCUCUCCCCACAAACCCUCCCCUCACCCUUCACCUCCGACGCCGACGACCUCUACCUCUUCCACCGCGCCUCCGCCGCACGCGCCACCACCACCAACCCCAAACCCAAAAUCGCCUUCCUCUUCCUCACCAACUCCAACCUCACCUUCGCCCCACUCUGGGAGAAAUUCUUCACCGGCCACCACCACCUUUACAACAUCUACAUCCACGCCGACCCCUCCUCCGCCGUCGUCUCUCCCGGCGGCGUCUUCCACCGCCGCUUCAUUACUUCCAAAAAAACCUACCGCUCCUCCCCAACACUCAUCUCCGCCACCCGCCGCCUCCUCGCCUCCGCCGUCCUCGACGACCCGCUUAACGAGUACUUCGCUCUUAUCUCCCAGCACUGCAUUCCGCUCUUCUCGUUUCGAUUCGUUUACAACUCUCUCUUCAAGAACCGGCUAGCCUCGCUCGCCGGUUCUAGUUUCCGGUACCGGAGCUACAUCGAGAUUAUCUCCGAUGAGUUGAACCUCUACGACCGUUACACAGCGCGCGGCGAGAACGUGAUGCUGCCGGAGGUGACGUUCGACGCUUUCCGGGUCGGGUCACAGUUCUUUGUUCUGACCCGGCGGCAUGCGGUGGUUGUUCUCCGGGAUCGGAGGCUCUGGAGGAAGUUCCGGCUUCCUUGCCUGACGGAGGAGCCGUGUUACCCGGAAGAGCACUAUUUUCCGACGCUGCUUUCCAUGGAGGACCCGAACGGCUGCACCGGGUUCACGCUCACGAGAGUGAACUGGACCGGUUGCUGGGAUGGCCACCCGCACCUUUAUACCCCGCCGGAGGUCUCGCCGGAGCUCGUUCGCCGCCUUAGGGAGUCGAAUUCCAGCUAUUCCUACCUCUUCGCGAGGAAAUUCUCGCCGGAGUGUCUCACGCCGCUGAUGGACAUCGCCGAUGACGUCAUUUUCCGGGACUGAGUUGAGCUAAGUUGGUGGAUGGUUGGGAGGAAGAGGAAAGGGAAAAAGUAAAGGGAAGAAGGUAAAGUAAAGGGAAGAGGUCGUCGGAGGGUGCAAGGGUGCGGGUUGAGGAUAAGAGACCACUGCCGUCGUUCGCGCCGCCAUUGUGACCUCGCCACCACCACCUCCGACAAAUGAAGUGAUGAUGUGGGUCGAGAGAGAAGGAGUUCUUGCUGGAUGUGGGUUAUUUACAUGAUUUUGCUGGGGUUAUGUAUUAGAUUUGUUGAAUUGUUGGGGUGGUGGGGGUUGUUGUGGAUGUGGGUUGUAGUUGCUCGGUGGUGGGGGACUGGGGGUUGUCUUUUUCUGGGUUUGGGAAGAAUGUAGAAGAUGGUUGUAGGAAUGAGUGAGAGGGUAGGAGGGAGAAAAUGAUUUGGGGGAAAAGUAAAAUAAAAAGAAAGAGAAAAACCAAAUUUGCCCUUUGGUCCACCGGUGGACCAAAAAACAAAGUUACCCACCCUAGUGGGAACCAGUAAUGGAUCAAAGCAACCUUCAUUUAAUUUUCAAGGGUACAUAAAGUGAUCUAACGGGUAUCUAUCUAUGUUGAUUUUGGGAAGAGAAAAACUCUUGUCAAUGUACAAUGCCAAAGUCGUGUUCAUGUGUACAGAAAAUGUGAUCUCUUUCAAUUGUAGAGUUUAGUUGUGAUUUCUCUUAUGUGAAUCGAGUGGCUUAAUAUGGAAAAAGUCAAGGCUGGUCCCCGAAGGAGGCUUCAACUGUUGAUUCCUAAGAAUUGUACAUUGAAAAUCUCAUGCAAAAAUUGGGUUUAUAAAUUAUCAUUUGAAUUAACUUGAGUGUGUUUGGUAAAACGUUUGAACUAACUUAAAAUGUAUUUAACUAGAGGUGUUUGGUAAUUGAGUUUUUUUCUUUUUCUCAUUAGAUUGUACCCUUGUAGUGAUUUUAAGAUGCUACUUUAUAUAGUAGUUGAGUUUAUAUCUUGUUAA